Molecule: unclassified non-coding RNA, 426 nt
Filed under: Hevea brasiliensis (rubber tree)
Lineage: Eukaryota; Viridiplantae; Streptophyta; Magnoliopsida; Malpighiales; Euphorbiaceae
Source: RNAcentral
UUUCUCCUGCUCUUUUUCUUUGCUGGCUUCUCCCUUAUUCACGCGCCGUGGAGGUAAAAUGACAACAUUUCCUUAGCUUCAUUGAGAUCCCUCCCUUUACAUGAUCUCAAGGUUUUUUGGGUGAAGUUCUGGUUUUAGUUGACCUACUGUUCCUUUUUUUUUCCCCCUGUUCUUACUGUCCAUUGUCUAUCAAUUUCUUUUGUGCUUGCUAACCCACACGGCAGUUAAUGCUUGAUUGAUAAUUGAUAGAGCCAGUUUCUUCUCCUUUCUUUGUCAAUUUCUUUUGCACUUGCUUUGAGAGUUAGUAGAGGGAUGGGUUAUACCUAUCCUGCUAUUCAUGCUUUGUAACUACCAUUAGCCCUCUGCUUGAUUGACAAUUAGUGGAAGGAUAAGUUGUUUGAGGCGUGAUUUAUGGUGGAAAGCAGG